RNAcentral lists this long non-coding RNA (518 nucleotides) under Ananas comosus (pineapple). RNAcentral's name for it is "long non-coding RNA (ACOM_LNC043374)". Lineage: Eukaryota; Viridiplantae; Streptophyta; Magnoliopsida; Poales; Bromeliaceae. The record is from RNAcentral.
UAAUUUUCGAUUUUCGAGGGACUCGGCAGCAUUUUGUUACCUAACUUAAUUAAUUAUUUUUUUCCCUAACUCCCAUCCGAUCAAAACCUCUUUUUCUCCUUUCCCGCACGACUCUCUCUCUCUCUCUCUCUCCUCCUCACCGCAUUCAUACGAGAUCUGCCGUUCCGCGGGUGCGCGCGCGACGCCAUCCGAUCGUCGCCGUCAUCCGUAGCCGCCUCCGCCGCGAUCCUCAUUGGCCGUUAUUUCUUUUUGGUUCGCUAUCGACGGAAUCUUGCCGUCGUCUUCACCGUUUUCGAAAAGGUUUUUCUCUUUUCCUCAUUUUACCUCUAUAUCGAACCUUGUGAUCAUCCAACCUUCUUGUUUAUCGUUAUAUUAUUAUUUUGAAUACUCGCCUCAUGAUGAUCGAAAUUUAAAACUAUCAAAAUCUGAUUUGCUUUGAUCUAAAUAUGUGUUAUUCGAUCUAUCAUUUUAUCUUGUAUUCCUAUCUGAUUUAGUUAUAUAAAUCCUCCAUAUUCUGC